GACGAACGCUGGCGGCGUGCUUAACACAUGCAAGUCGAACGGUGAUGCUCCAGCUUGCUGGAGUGGAUCAGUGGCGAACGGGUGAGUAACACGUGAGCAACCUGCCCCAGACUCUGGAAUAAGCGCUGGAAACGGCGUCUAAUACUGGAUACGAAACUGGCCCGCAUGGGCAUGGUUUGGAAAGUUGUUCGGUUUGGGAUGGGCUCGCGGCCUAUCAGCUUGUUGGUGAGGUAAUGGCUCACCAAGGCGACGACGGGUAGCCGGCCUGAGAGGGCGACCGGACACACUGGGACUGAGAUACGGCACAGACUCCUACGGGAGGCAGCAGUGGGGAAUAUUGCACAAUGGGAGAAAGCCUGAUGCAGCGCCGCCGCGUGAGGGAUGACGGCCUUCGGGUUGUAAACCUCUUUCAGCAGGGAAGAAGCGAAAGUGACGGUACCUGCAGAAGAAGCACCGGCUAACUACGUG
RNAcentral lists this ribosomal RNA (468 nucleotides) under uncultured bacterium. Its description in RNAcentral is "partial 16S ribosomal RNA". It matches the Rfam family "Bacterial small subunit ribosomal RNA", at positions 28 to 507 of the family's 1533-position model. The record is from RNAcentral.